This 1550-nucleotide ribosomal RNA is filed under the name Klebsiella pneumoniae. Its description in RNAcentral is "bacterial SSU rRNA". It matches the Rfam family "Bacterial small subunit ribosomal RNA". Lineage: Bacteria; Pseudomonadati; Pseudomonadota; Gammaproteobacteria; Enterobacterales; Enterobacteriaceae. The record is from RNAcentral.
AAAUUGAAGAGUUUGAUCAUGGCUCAGAUUGAACGCUGGCGGCAGGCCUAACACAUGCAAGUCGAGCGGUAGCACAGAGAGCUUGCUCUCGGGUGACGAGCGGCGGACGGGUGAGUAAUGUCUGGGAAACUGCCUGAUGGAGGGGGAUAACUACUGGAAACGGUAGCUAAUACCGCAUAACGUCGCAAGACCAAAGUGGGGGACCUUCGGGCCUCAUGCCAUCAGAUGUGCCCAGAUGGGAUUAGCUAGUAGGUGGGGUAACGGCUCACCUAGGCGACGAUCCCUAGCUGGUCUGAGAGGAUGACCAGCCACACUGGAACUGAGACACGGUCCAGACUCCUACGGGAGGCAGCAGUGGGGAAUAUUGCACAAUGGGCGCAAGCCUGAUGCAGCCAUGCCGCGUGUGUGAAGAAGGCCUUCGGGUUGUAAAGCACUUUCAGCGGGGAGGAAGGCGAUAAGGUUAAUAACCUUGUCGAUUGACGUUACCCGCAGAAGAAGCACCGGCUAACUCCGUGCCAGCAGCCGCGGUAAUACGGAGGGUGCAAGCGUUAAUCGGAAUUACUGGGCGUAAAGCGCACGCAGGCGGUCUGUCAAGUCGGAUGUGAAAUCCCCGGGCUCAACCUGGGAACUGCAUUCGAAACUGGCAGGCUAGAGUCUUGUAGAGGGGGGUAGAAUUCCAGGUGUAGCGGUGAAAUGCGUAGAGAUCUGGAGGAAUACCGGUGGCGAAGGCGGCUCCCUGGACAAAGACUGACGCUCAGGUGCGAAAGCGUGGGGAGCAAACAGGAUUAGAUACCCUGGUAGUCCACGCCGUAAACGAUGUCGAUUUGGAGGUUGUGCCCUUGAGGCGUGGCUUCCGGAGCUAACGCGUUAAAUCGACCGCCUGGGGAGUACGGCCGCAAGGUUAAAACUCAAAUGAAUUGACGGGGGCCCGCACAAGCGGUGGAGCAUGUGGUUUAAUUCGAUGCAACGCGAAGAACCUUACCUGGUCUUGACAUCCACAGAACUUUCCAGAGAUGGAUUGGUGCCUUCGGGAACUGUGAGACAGGUGCUGCAUGGCUGUCGUCAGCUCGUGUUGUGAAAUGUUGGGUUAAGUCCCGCAACGAGCGCAACCCUUAUCCUUUGUUGCCAGCGGUUAGGCCGGGAACUCAAAGGAGACUGCCAGUGAUAAACUGGAGGAAGGUGGGGAUGACGUCAAGUCAUCAUGGCCCUUACGACCAGGGCUACACACGUGCUACAAUGGCAUAUACAAAGAGAAGCGACCUCGCGAGAGCAAGCGGACCUCAUAAAGUAUGUCGUAGUCCGGAUUGGAGUCUGCAACUCGACUCCAUGAAGUCGGAAUCGCUAGUAAUCGUAGAUCAGAAUGCUACGGUGAAUACGUUCCCGGGCCUUGUACACACCGCCCGUCACACCAUGGGAGUGGGUUGCAAAAGAAGUAGGUAGCUUAACCUUCGGGAGGGCGCUUACCACUUUGUGAUUCAUGACUGGGGUGAAGUCGUAACAAGGUAACCGUAGGGGAACCUGCGGUUGGAUCACCUCCUUACCUUAAAGAA